Molecule: long non-coding RNA, 955 nt
Organism: Ictidomys tridecemlineatus (thirteen-lined ground squirrel)
Lineage: Eukaryota; Metazoa; Chordata; Mammalia; Rodentia; Sciuridae
Source: RefSeq, a predicted model, not a curated record
CCGGGUAGGCUACCUCAGACUCCGCCGGAAAGGUUCCGGACAGGUGCUACUUGUAGGAAAGCGGGAAAGGUCGGCCCCUAAUGCCAGCGACUUGGAGCUCCGCUAAUGUCAAGGCACUUACUUACCCUAGUUGACUUGGACACUAUGAAAGAGAAUUGGAGAAAUGGACUGAGUUCCCCGGGAGAGGUCCAUCAGACAACUGCGGUGACAUACACAAAGCAAUUAGCGAAGGCCAGCUGAUGAAAGCUACACCUCCAGCAUAAGAAAUAAAACACUUAAGGACAUUGCCAAAUAGGAAUUGAUUUGAGAGGUGGAAAGUCUUUAGGAGUUUACAGCUGAAGUCACAUGGAGAUAAGAGGAAGACCUUCUACGAUGGAGAACCACCAUAGAGGCCGCGUGCUGUGGCUGUAAUCCCAGUGGCUCAGAAGACUGAGACAGGAGGAUCAUGAGUUCAAAGCCAGCCUCAGCAACAGCAAGGUCCAAAAGAAACUACUGGAAGCCUCAAGACAAAAGACCACAGAGGCCAGCAGGCUGAGGCAGGAGCUGGGUGAGAAAGUGGAAGAGUGAACUCAGGGGGCAUUAAAAGUCCCUGUCGUGUCAGACACUGAACAAAACUUCUGUACAGUGCACUUGCCCUCUUCUGCUUGUAGUCUUAAAGGGAAAAGUGGACUUUGAUCAGUGAAUCAUGAGAAAGCGAAAGGCCUACUGUAGAAAUGCUGGACACCUCCCACCCCAUUCCUUAAGUCCAAGGCUCCUCUCUUCCCACAGGUCCCUCUCCACAAGGACUCUCAGCUAUAACUAGGCAGUCUCCUGUCACAUACUGCUGGGAAACUCAGAAGGACUGUGCUCUUGCUGGUGUGUGACACUGAAGCCAGAAUUAGGCAGUGUAGAUAGGUAAAUCGAGUCAGGUCAGAUCAAGGAGGCCAAUUUUUUUUUUUAAAUAACUUUAUUUAUU